RNAcentral lists this ribosomal RNA (441 nucleotides) under uncultured bacterium. RNAcentral's name for it is "partial 16S ribosomal RNA". It matches the Rfam family "Bacterial small subunit ribosomal RNA", at positions 338 to 795 of the family's 1533-position model. The record is from RNAcentral.
CCUACGGGUGGCAGCAGUAGGGAAUUUUGCGCAAUGGGGGAAACCCUGACGCAGCAACGCCGCGUGAUCGAUGAAGCCCUUCGGGGCGUAAAGAUCUGUCAGCGGGGACGAAACCUGACGGUACCCAUAGAGGAAGCACCGCCUAACGCCGGGCCAGCAGCCGCGGGAAUACGGGGGGUGCAAGCGUUGUCCGGAAUCUUUGGGCGUAAAGGGUUCGUAGGUGGCACGUUAAGUCUGAUGUUAAAGGCGGUAGCUCAACUUCCGUAGGGCACUGGAUACUGGCGAGCUUGAAUGCGGGAGAGGUAAAGGGAAUUCCUGGUGUAGCGGUGAAAUGCGUAGAUAUCAGGAAGAACAUCAGUGGCGAAGGCGGUUUACUGGGCCGUAAUUGACGCUGAGGAACGAAAGCCGGGGUAGCGAAUGGGAUUAGAUACCCUUGUAGUC